GAAUGGCAUCACGAAGGUUAUACUGUCUCCUUUUUCUAAUCAGUGAAACUAAUCUCCCCGUGAAGAAGCGGGGAUAAAUUUAUAAGACGAGAAGACCCUAUGGAGCUUUAAACUAAAACAAUUAUCUUAUUACUAACCUAAUCCUCAUGGUAAAAACAAACCUUUGAUAAUGUGACUUACAGUUUUCGGUUGGGGUGACCACGGAGUAAAACACAUCCUCCGCGAUGAAUAGGAUUAUUCCUAAGUAAAAAAUUACAAUUUUAUACAUCAACAAAUUGACACCAUUGACCCAAUAUUUUUGAUCAACGAACCAAGUUACCCUAGGGAUAACAGCGCAAUCCAUCUUAAGAGCUCAUAUCGACAGAUGG
RNAcentral lists this ribosomal RNA (368 nucleotides) under Phrynomedusa marginata (bi-colored leaf frog). RNAcentral describes it as "partial 16S ribosomal RNA". It matches the Rfam family "Bacterial large subunit ribosomal RNA", at positions 1994 to 2515 of the family's 2925-position model. The record is from RNAcentral. Lineage: Eukaryota; Metazoa; Chordata; Amphibia; Anura; Hylidae.